This 492-nucleotide ribosomal RNA is filed under the name uncultured bacterium. Its description in RNAcentral is "partial 16S ribosomal RNA". It matches the Rfam family "Bacterial small subunit ribosomal RNA", at positions 29 to 507 of the family's 1533-position model. The record is from RNAcentral.
AGUGAACGCUGGCGGUAGGCCUAACACAUGCAAGUCGAACGGCAGCACAGUAAGAGCUUGCUCUUACGGGUGGCGAGUGGCGGACGGGUGAGGAAUACAUCGGAAUCUACUUUUUCGUGGGGGAUAACGUAGGGAAACUUACGCUAAUACCGCAUACGACCUACGGGUGAAAGCAGGGGAUCUUCGGACCUUGCGCGAUUGAAUGAGCGGAUGUCGGAUUAGCUAGUUGGCGGGGUAAAGGCCAACCAAGGCGACGAUCCGUAGCUGGUCUGAGAGGAUGAUCGGCCACACUGGAACUGAGACACGGUCCAGACUCCUACGGGAGGCAGCAGUGUGGAAUAUUGGACAAUGGGCGCAAGCCUGAUCCAGCCAUACCGCGUGGGUGAAGAAGGCCUUCGGGUUGGAAAGCCCUUUUGUUGGGAAAGAAAAGCAGCAGGUUAAUACCCCGCUGUUCUGACGGUACCCAAUGAAUAAGCACCGGCUAACUUCGUG